Molecule: long non-coding RNA, 239 nt
Organism: Brienomyrus brachyistius
Lineage: Eukaryota; Metazoa; Chordata; Actinopteri; Osteoglossiformes; Mormyridae
Exons: 3
Source: RefSeq, a predicted model, not a curated record
CCAGCCUCUCUUAUCACUUGUUAAUUACUCGGAAGGUCCUUCAUGGUUGUACUGAACAGUGGACCUUCUCCUGACACGCUGUUCUGGAGUGGCAGGAAUUCCAGGCCCUGGAGCCUUUUGGGAACUGAGAACUUGGUUACUUCUGCUCCAAGUUUUUUCGCUUCAUAACGAGCAACAGAAGUGCUAAAGCUUCGUGGCAAAUGACAUCCACUACACCUUUCAAACCUAAAGAGCAGGAC